GGCCCGGUGGCUUAGUGGUUAGCACAUUUGCCUCACAACUCCAGGGUAUGGGGUUCCAUUCCCGCCGGGGCCA
Molecule: non-coding RNA, 73 nt
Organism: Ameiurus melas (black bullhead)
Lineage: Eukaryota; Metazoa; Chordata; Actinopteri; Siluriformes; Ictaluridae
Source: the annotation of a GenBank genome assembly